GACGAACGCUGGCGGCGUGCCUAACACAUGCAAGUCGAACGGAGAAUUCAGCAAUGAAUUCUUAGUGGCGAACGGGUGAGUAACGCGUAGACAACCUACCUCUUAGAUGGGGACAACACUGCGAAAGUGGUGCUAAUACCGAAUGUUGUAUCGAGAAUGCAUAUUCUUGAUACUAAAGAUGGCCUCUAUUUAUAAGCUAUCACUAAGAGAUGGGUCUGCGUCUGAUUAGCUAGUUGGUGAGGUAAUGGCUCACCAAGGCGACGAUCAGUAGCCGGUCUGAGAGGAUGAACGGCCACACUGGGACUGAGACACGGCCCAGACUCCUACGGGAGGCAGCAGUGGGGAAUCUUCCGCAAUGGACGAAAGUCUGACGGAGCAACGCCGCGUGAGUGAAGAAGGUUUUCGGAUCGUAAAACUCUGUUUUCAGGGACGAAUGUGCGCAAUGUAAAUAAUGUUGUGUAAUGACGGUACCUGAGUAGAAAGCCACGGCUAACUACGUGCCAGCAGCCGCCGUAACAC
Molecule: ribosomal RNA, 519 nt
Filed under: uncultured bacterium
Lineage: Bacteria
Description: bacterial SSU rRNA
Rfam family: Bacterial small subunit ribosomal RNA
Source: RNAcentral